UUAUGGUUCAGAAAGAAGAGUUGUAUAAUUCUAUACUCUUUCAAGAAAACUGAUUGUAAACAAGCCCAAGAAUAAACUAAAGCUUUGCAUUAUAUUUUGAUGGCAUGACAAAUCAGCAGGAGAAAAAGAGGAUGUACUCUGAGUCUAGACAGACAUCAAAUCAGCUCUGCAUUUGGAAUAUAUUCCCAGUAAGAUAUUAG
This 200-nucleotide long non-coding RNA is filed under the name Salvator merianae (Argentine black and white tegu). Its description in RNAcentral is "lncRNA (ENSSMRG00000012702.1)". The record is from RNAcentral. Lineage: Eukaryota; Metazoa; Chordata; Lepidosauria; Squamata; Teiidae.